RNAcentral lists this ribosomal RNA (253 nucleotides) under uncultured bacterium. RNAcentral describes it as "partial 16S ribosomal RNA". It matches the Rfam family "Bacterial small subunit ribosomal RNA", at positions 524 to 776 of the family's 1533-position model. The record is from RNAcentral.
UACGUAGGGUCCGAGCGUUGUCCGGAAUUACUGGGCGUAAAGCGCACGCAGGCGGUUUGGUAAGUUUGACGUGAAAGCUCCCGGCUUAACUGGGAGAGGUCGUUGAAGACUGCCAGACUUGAGUUUAGGAGAGGGGUGCAGAAUUCCCGGUGUAGUGGUGGAAUGCGUAGAUAUCGGGAGGAAUACCAGUGGCGAAAGCGGCACCCUAGCCUUUGACUGACGCUCAUGUGCGAAAGCGUGGGGAGCGAACGGG